Malus domestica (apple) is the source of this 486-nucleotide long non-coding RNA. RefSeq lists it as uncharacterized. Lineage: Eukaryota; Viridiplantae; Streptophyta; Magnoliopsida; Rosales; Rosaceae. The record is from RefSeq and is a predicted model, not a curated record.
UCGCUUAUUUUCUUCCGUAGCUUUCCCUUUUUUCUUCCUCUUUGUUUAUGUGUUCUUCCGCCUGCCUUGAUCUUUCGUGUCUCUGCUUAUCUCUCUGCAUCGAUCCUCUGUUGUCUGAAGAGUUUCUUUUUCUGAUUCAUUGCGCUGUUUGAGAAAAUAUUGGUCUCCAGAGUUUGGGGGUUUUGUGAACAGCGUUGCAAGCCCUUUCGAAUAAAGGUUGUCUAUGGCUCAGUGGAAUUCUGGGCUAGAUAGCUUACAACUGGUAUCAGCACGGCAUGGAGACCAAUGUGAGGAUCAUUCACACCAGUUGUUUGAUACUGGAGUGUUUCAUGAUGAUCCUUAUCGUUUCCCGAUUUCAUGAUGCUGCAUAUCAACUUGAUGAGGACUAUAGUGAGAAUGGUGAUACUUAAGGAUAUUUUAUCUAUAUUAUAGUAAUCUCGAAAUGAAAACAUAGAUAUUUUUGUAUUUUGUAGCUACACCGAAUUG